UUGUCUGUGGUCUCAUCUUCAUUGCCUGUUCGGUUGUCUCAACUGUGGUGGGCUUUCCUUGGUUGCUUUCAACAAUCCAUAGUGUGUGUAACCCAAACAAGGCUAAAUUAUCACUGUUUGCACAAAUAGAUCGUUAGAAUUCUGUUGGAUUAUUUGCAUCCGCCGCCUUCUAAUACUUUAUUUCCGGAUUGUGACUUUUACACUCAUGAGCUGCUUAGUCAGGCAAGGCUGCAUCCAUUCAUUUAAAGAUAUUUCAUCUUCCAAAGCUGCCAAACUAAAUCAACCUAAAUCCAAACUAACGCAAACACAGCUACUUUCAAACUAUAAACGACUUCGAGCUAGGCCACCGAUUAGACAGAGGCAAAUUCGGUCGAGUCUAUAUGGCGAGUGAAAGAUCCCUAAUGAAGGCGGGGCCACAGCAUAAAUAUUAUAAUUUUUAUAUUAUAUUAUAAUCCAUAAUAUAUAAUAUUUACGCUGUGCCUGAGCCGAGUGCAGAGGCAGAUUAUGAGGACUUUGAGAAAGAAGACCCUCACCACCAAUGUGUUUAGAUUUUGUUCGGAUUUCAACAUCGAGACUCACUUACGGUAAGUGUUUUUUAUUUUCAUUUUGCUACCGAAAAAACUUUUGGUCUGGUUUCACGACUCGCAUCUCAUCUACUCAUUUUGGAAUAUGCCGACAAAAGCUAGCGAUAAGGCACCAAAAAUUGACGAAACUCUCGCAAAAUCUCUUGCUGACCAUCACCGGCGAUAUAAAGUUGGCGGUUUUCGGAUGAUCUGUACACUCGCCUCGAUUUCAGGGGAAUAUAGCUCAAAGUGCGUUGUGAGGCACUUUGGACUAAGCGCACUGGAGCAAACACUAUGUGAACCAUUGGUGUCCAGGUGUUCUGCGGUACGAUUUUCUGCAUGGCAAUUGACAAUCCUCCGUUUGAGGGCAAGGACCAGAAGAAAACGUAACGUCGCAUAAUAAAACUCGAUACAGUUUUUUCCUUUGAUAACUUUAACUCUUACGCUCGACGCUCGAGGCGUGAUUAAGUUAAACUAAGACUAAGACUAAGUAUCGGUUGUGUUUGACUGUUUUACACUCAAAUGUUUUCGGCUGAUUGUCAUCACGAGCGAUCGUCGAGUGACUCUAACUGACGCCAUGAAGCACCCUUGGGUUAAGGAACCUGAACUUAAGAAUAAUCCUUAAUAACAAUAAUAUAUAUUUAUUUCGAAAAAACUUAUCAACCAAAUCGGUCUGUCUGUCCUUGCAUUUACAGUUGUAUGGUGUGUUAAGGAUUAAAAAAUUAUAAAAUAAAAGUUAUAAAUCUACCAAA
Molecule: long non-coding RNA, 1315 nt
Organism: Dendroctonus ponderosae (mountain pine beetle)
Lineage: Eukaryota; Metazoa; Arthropoda; Insecta; Coleoptera; Curculionidae
Exons: 3
Source: RefSeq, a predicted model, not a curated record